CAAAGCUUUGCAAGUCACAGACAAAAUGUUAAGAAGAUGAUAAAGUACCCUACUAAUUUUAACAUAUUUCUUUAUUCCCUCAGAUAUAUUUUAAUCACAGGAAAGAUCUCUGUGCUUUGGAAAUAAGAAGAUGGAACACAAUUCAUAAGAUAGCUCCUAAAAUUUUAGAAAUCAUUCUGUGAAAGUUUCUGUUUCUCUACUAUCAAAGAAAGACCAAAGAACAACGUUUCCUAGCCUGGAGGAAAAGAAUGGAGCUAUGUGAGGCACUGUGUGAACUGCAGCAGCGAAGCAGCCUUUGGAAAUCAUCUUGGAAGAGACAUUCAGCUUUCCGUUUUCUACACUUCAGGCAAGCACGUCCUUGCUGGCAGGAAGCCCAUCUGGUUCUGUUGUGUAGGAGGUGGCUGCAGGAGGUCAGAAUGCGAGGAGCCCAGGCUGGUGCAGAAAUGUCUUCUGAUCCCCAGGAAGCCGCGGGGCAGCGCAGCCCGGCUCAGCAGAGCUCUCCCAGCCUCUCAUGCAGACAAGUCAAAGCAGCUCUGGGCAGCCGCUGA
Molecule: long non-coding RNA, 548 nt
Filed under: Zonotrichia albicollis (white-throated sparrow)
Lineage: Eukaryota; Metazoa; Chordata; Aves; Passeriformes; Passerellidae
Description: lncRNA (ENSZALG00000008437.1)
Source: RNAcentral